RNAcentral lists this long non-coding RNA (886 nucleotides) under Olea europaea subsp. europaea. The record is from RNAcentral. Lineage: Eukaryota; Viridiplantae; Streptophyta; Magnoliopsida; Lamiales; Oleaceae.
UGGGUUUGAAUCACUAAGUAUAAACUAGAUUGUUAAAAUACUCAUAAAUUGGGAGAAUCACUACAUGAAUAAAUUGUUCACGUUGCUGGUUAAACUAACACAAAUAAGAGUGGUGUGAGGAAAUCUUAAGCAAAACUGAACUUUAGAAUUACACCAUGAUAAGAGAAUAAAAGAACCAAGUUUGGGGGUAUGUGAAUCGUACGAGUGAAGAAAGAAAAUAAUUGACCAUUGAGGGUUGGGAAGUGAACCAACUUGUGAAUGUACGGCGCUACGCUUGACCCUCCACACACACACCCGCUUCGCAUUGUAUGAGUGGAAGUUUGGUUCUUGCAUUGUAAUUUUAACACGAUUCAUAAAUAUAAUAUAAUGUUAUCAAUGUUGAGCCAAAAAGACAAGCCGUCUAACUGACUAGUUGUGUGUGUAUCAUCUUUGGAUGAUUUUAUUGUUUGAUGUGUGUGUUUGCUAGAGGACUAGCAAACGGUUAAGUUUGGGAGUAUUUGAUGAGUUUGUUUCACUCAUGAAUUUUGCACAAGUCUAGCUUGAUUAAAUGCUAGAUCUUGUGAGUAUAGAACGUUUUUGAUGUGUUUGUUAAUGUUGUUUUGAAGAUUAGGAGAGGCGAUGCGAAAAGAGGUAUUAAAGUGGACAAAGAGACAAAAAACAUGAAAUUGGGGUAGAAAGACAGCGCUUAGGCGCUGCAUUCAUAGCGGAUAGGCGCUACGAAAUUGAAAAAAGAUGAAAUUUGAACCCAAGAGACAGCGUCUAGACGCUACAAUCAUAGCGCCCAGGUGUUAUCAUCUCUUAGGCACUGGAGACGUAGCACCCAAGCGCUGAUGCGCUGUCUCGUAGCACUUAGGCGCUGCGACUGAGUAUUUAGGGUGCAUUUUUU